ACAAGAACUUCAUAAGUGGACAAGGUGGGCUUGAACUUGCAACACUACUGACUGAGCCUCCCAGAAUUACAAAAAAAAGCCCAGACUAC
Long non-coding RNA from Octodon degus (degu), 89 nucleotides. RefSeq lists it as uncharacterized. The record is from RefSeq and is a predicted model, not a curated record. Lineage: Eukaryota; Metazoa; Chordata; Mammalia; Rodentia; Octodontidae. The transcript is spliced from 3 exons.